Molecule: ribosomal RNA, 423 nt
Filed under: uncultured bacterium
Lineage: Bacteria
Description: bacterial SSU rRNA
Rfam family: Bacterial small subunit ribosomal RNA
Source: RNAcentral
AAGCCUGAUGCAGCCAUGCCGCGUGUAUGAAGAAGGCUUCGGGUUGUAAAGUACUUUCAGCAGUGAGGAAGGUGGAUAUGUUAAUAGCAUAUUCAUUUGACGUUUAGCUGCAGAAGAAGCACCGGCUAACUCCGUGCCAGCAGCCGCGGUAAUACGGAGGGUGCGAGCGUUAAUCGGAAUUACUGGGCGUAAAGCGCAUGCAGGUGGUUUGUUAAGUCAGAUGUGAAAGCCCGGGGCUCAACCUCGGAAUUGCAUUUGAAAACUGGCAAACUAGAGUACUGUAGAGGGGGUAGGAAUUUCAGGUGUAGCGGUGAAAUGCGUAGAGAUCUGAAGGAAUACCGGUGGCGAAGGCGGCCCCCUGGACAGAUACUGACACUCAGAUGCGAAAGCGUGGGGAGCAAACAGGAUUAGAUACCCUGGUAG